GCUGGGCAUGGUGGCGCAUGCCUGUAAUCCCAGCUACUCAGAAGGCUGAGACUGGAGGCUCACUUGAACCCGGGAGGCGGAGGUUGCAGUGAGCCGAGAUGGCGCCACUGCACUCCAGCCUGGGUGACAGAGUGAGACUCUGUCUCAA
Non-coding RNA from Homo sapiens (human), 148 nucleotides. It matches the Rfam family "Metazoan signal recognition particle RNA". Rfam says of the family: The signal recognition particle (SRP) is a universally conserved ribonucleoprotein. It is involved in the co-translational targeting of proteins to membranes. The eukaryotic SRP consists of a 300-nucleotide 7S RNA and six proteins: SRPs 72, 68, 54, 19, 14, and 9. The record is from Rfam. NCBI's taxonomy places the organism in Eukaryota, Metazoa, Chordata, Mammalia, Primates, Hominidae.